GGGAGCCUGGAGGUGCGGGUGCCAGGCGCCAGGAUGCGGUGGCCGGUUACCGUGUUGGGGAGCAGCCCAGGCUCACCAUAAACGGCGCGGUGCCGACGGUCCGGAGGAGAGAGAGGGUUAACCUCGGAAGAUUCGCGAUGCAGCGGGCAGCGGUGCUGGUGCGGCGGGGCUCCUGCCCCCGCGCCUCGGGCCCCUGGGGCCGUAGUCACAGCAGCGCUGCAGCCGAAGCCUCGGCGGCGCUCAAGGUGCGACCAGAGCGUAGCCCUCGAGACCGCAUCCUCACCCUGGAGUCCAUGAACCCGCAGGUGAAGGCCGUGGAGUACGCUGUGCGGGGACCCAUCGUGCUCAAGGCCGGCGAGAUCGAGAUGGAGCUGCAGCGGGGUAUCAAAAAACCAUUCACUGAGGUAAUCC
This 411-nucleotide long non-coding RNA is filed under the name Rattus norvegicus (Norway rat). RNAcentral describes it as "long non-coding RNA NONRATT014530". The record is from RNAcentral. Lineage: Eukaryota; Metazoa; Chordata; Mammalia; Rodentia; Muridae.